Molecule: ribosomal RNA, 297 nt
Filed under: Triticum aestivum (bread wheat)
Lineage: Eukaryota; Viridiplantae; Streptophyta; Magnoliopsida; Poales; Poaceae
Description: partial small subunit ribosomal RNA
Source: RNAcentral
GCUGCAUCCAAGGCACCAGAAGGGGAAUCGGUCGCUGGACUGCAAGGAGAAGCGGCCGGGCGAGACACGAUUGGGCGCCUUCAGAGUAGGUAGGAAGGAGCGGGCGAGAUCAUUGUCAAAGAAACCGAGGAGGAGGGGAGGGCUGCGGCGGUGGUGGAUGCAGAAGCGACGGGAGAAGCCUGGGUCGGAGGCGAGGUUGCGCCAGCGCUUGCAGACGACGGAGGCGCGGGGGAGGGAGCACGGCUGCGGGGGGAGGCGUAGGAGGAUCUCGCAGAGGAGGUCGUCGUCAUCCAGCGG